GAUCCUGCCGGAAGCGACCGCAAUUGGAGUUCGAUUANNACAUGCGAGUCAGAGCACUAGCUCGGCAUACCGCUCAGUAACACGUGGGUAACCUGCCCUAUUGUUUCGAAUAACCUUGGGAAACUGAGAAUAACGCGAAAUAGUCCACUACGCCUGGAACGGUGAGUGGACAAAGAUAGGAUGGGCCUGCGGCGUAUCAGGUCGUAGGGGGUGUAACGGACCUCCUAGCCAUCGACGCGUACGGGUGUUGGGAGACAUAGCCCGGAGAUGGAUUCUGAGACACGAAUCCAGGCCCUACGGGGCGCAGCAGUUACGAAAACUUGGCAAUGCGGGAAACCGUGACCAGGGAACUCCAAGUGGCUGUCCUUUUGGGCAGUCUUUUCUUGACUCUAAAACGGUCUUGGAAUAAGGGGUGGGUAAGGACGGUGCCAGCCGCCGCGGUAAUACCGGCGCCUC
Molecule: ribosomal RNA, 456 nt
Filed under: uncultured archaeon
Lineage: Archaea
Description: bacterial SSU rRNA
Rfam family: Archaeal small subunit ribosomal RNA
Source: RNAcentral